This 493-nucleotide ribosomal RNA is filed under the name uncultured bacterium. RNAcentral describes it as "partial 16S ribosomal RNA". It matches the Rfam family "Bacterial small subunit ribosomal RNA", at positions 30 to 523 of the family's 1533-position model. The record is from RNAcentral.
AUUGAACGCUGGUGGCAUGCCUUGCACAUGCAAGUCGAACGGUAACAGGUUAAGCUGACGAGUGGCGAACGGGUGAGUAAUACAUCGGAACGUGCCCAGUAGUGGGGGCUAGCCCGGCGAAAGCCGGAUUAAUGCCGCAUACGACCUAAGGGCGAAAGGGGGGGAUCGCAAGACCUCUCGCUAUUGGAGCGGCCGAUGUCAGUUUAGGUAGUUGGUGGGGUAAAGGCCCAACAAGCCGACGAUCUGUAGCUGGUCUGAGAGGACGACCAGCCCGACAUGAACAGACACACCGUCCAGACUCAUACGGGAGGCAGCAGUAGGGAAUGUUGGACAAUGGGCGCAAGCCUGAUCCCGCCAUACCGCGUGGGUGAAGAAGGCGUUCGGGUUGUAAAGCCGUUUUGUUGGGAAAGAAAUCCAGCUGGUUAAUACCCGGUUGUGAUGACGGUACCCAAAGAAUAAGCACCGGCUAACUUCGUGCCAGCAGCCACAGUAA